ACUUGGAUGAAUGGACCGGCUACCCCCUUAAGAAAGAGGUAAGAGGUAGUGCAGGAGAUCCUUUUAAGGAGUAAAGUUCUAAAUAUAUGAUUGAUAAUGACAGUCUAUAUAUUAUGUCUUGACCAAUUACGUGCCAGCAGUCGCGGCAAUACGUAUGAGACUAGUGUUAUUCAUCUUAAAUAGGUUUAAAGGGUACCCAGACGGCAAAUGUCACCUUUAAAAGGUUAUUAUUUUGCUAGAGUUUUAUGUGAAGAGGCCGUACUUGUGAGUGGAGAGUUAAAAUUCUGUGAUACCUGGGGGACGGAUAAAGGCGAAGGCAGCCUCUUAUGUACAAACUGACGUUGAAGGACGAAGGCAUUGCGGCACGAACAGGAUUAGGGACCCUAGUAGUCUUUGCAGACAAUGAUGAAUGCCAUAGGUUAGGUUGUUACUUAGUCUAUAAAUGAAAGUGUAAGCAUUUCACCUCAAGAGUAAUGCGGCAACGCAGGAACUGAAAUCACUAGACCGUUUCUGACACCAGUAGUGAAGUAUGUUGUUUAAUUCGAUGAUCCACGAAAAAUCUUACCACAAUUUGAAUAGAAUAAAAUAAUUAAGGCGACUCGACUGUCGUUUUAGUAUAUUUAUUCAUACAAGUGUUGCACGGCUGUUUCCAGUUAAUGUUGUGAAACUGUGGCAAAAGCCAUGGAAUUAACGUAAACCUGAGCUUUAUUUGUAAAUAUAUUAUUUUGAUAGGGCUGAUUCGUCCAUUAUAUUGGAUCUGAUAACAGGGACUAAGACAAGUCAUCAUGGCCUUGAUAU
This 798-nucleotide ribosomal RNA is filed under the name Diaporthe eres. RNAcentral's name for it is "mitochondrial SSU rRNA". It matches the Rfam family "Bacterial small subunit ribosomal RNA", at positions 359 to 1207 of the family's 1533-position model. Lineage: Eukaryota; Fungi; Ascomycota; Sordariomycetes; Diaporthales; Diaporthaceae. The record is from RNAcentral.